This 236-nucleotide unclassified non-coding RNA is filed under the name uncultured fungus. RNAcentral describes it as "sequence contains ITS1, 5.8S rRNA gene". The stretch from base 188 to 236 matches the Rfam family "5.8S ribosomal RNA", at positions 1 to 49 of the family's 154-position model. The record is from RNAcentral. Lineage: Eukaryota; Fungi.
UCUCCGUUGGUGAACCAGCGGAGGGAUCAUUACAGGACUCGCAAGACUCCCGUAACCACUGUGAACCUUACCACUCUGUUGCCUCGGCGGGUGCUCCCUCCCCCCGCGGGAGGGCGCGCACGCCCGCCGACGGCCCACAACUCGCUGUCUGAUCUUUGCAUCUCCGAGUACCACACAAACGAAUCAAAACUUUCAACAACGGAUCUCUUGGUUCUGGCAUCGAUGAAGAACGCAGC